CUGGCUCAGGAUGAACGCUAGCUACAGGCUUAACACAUGCAAGUCGAGGGGCAGCAUGAUCAAGCUUGCUUGAUGAUGGCGACCGGCGCACGGGUGAGUAACGCGUAUCCAACCUUCCCCUUAGUAGGGCAUAGCCCGUAGAAAUGCGGAUUAAUACCCUAUGUUGUUCGAUGCGGACAUCUAAGUUGAACCAAAGGUUUACCGCUAAGGGAUGGGGAUGCGUCUGAUUAGGCAGCAGGCGGGGUAACGGCCCACCUGGCCUACGAUCAGUAGGGGUUCUGAGAGGAAGGUCCCCCACAUUGGAACUGAGACACGGUCCAAACUCCUACGGGAGGCAGCAGUGAGGAAUAUUGGUCAAUGGGCGAGAGCCUGAACCAGCCAAGUAGCGUGCCAGGACGACGGCCCUAUGGGUUGUAAACUGCUUUUAUGCGGGGAUAAAGUGCGGCACGUGUGCCGUUUUGUAGGUACCGCAUGAAUAAGGACCGGCUAAUUCCGUGCCAGCAGCCGC
This 508-nucleotide ribosomal RNA is filed under the name uncultured bacterium. Its description in RNAcentral is "bacterial SSU rRNA". It matches the Rfam family "Bacterial small subunit ribosomal RNA", at positions 19 to 518 of the family's 1533-position model. The record is from RNAcentral.